This 253-nucleotide ribosomal RNA is filed under the name uncultured bacterium. Its description in RNAcentral is "partial 16S ribosomal RNA". It matches the Rfam family "Bacterial small subunit ribosomal RNA", at positions 524 to 776 of the family's 1533-position model. The record is from RNAcentral.
UACGUAGGGGGCAAGCGUUGUCCGGAAUUACUGGGCGUAAAGCGCGUGUAGGCGGGACGGCAAGCUCGAUGUGAAAGCCCCGGGCUUAACCUGGGAAUUGCAUUGAGGACUGGCGUGCUCGAGUGCGGCAGAGGGGGGUGGAAUUCCACGUGUAGCAGUGAAAUGCGUAGAGAUGUGGAGGAACACCGAUGGCGAAGGCAGCCCCCUGGGCCGACACUGACGCUCAUGCACGAAAGCGUGGGGAGCAAACAGG